AUUGAACGCUGGCGGCAUGCCUUACACAUGCAAGUCGAACGGCAGCACGGGGCAACCUGGUGGCGAGUGGCGAACGGGUGAGUAAUGCAUCGGAACGUGCCAUUGAGUGGGGGAGUAACGUAGCGAAAGUUAGCGCUAAUACCGCAUAUUCUGUGAGCAGGAAAGCAGGGGACCGGCAAGGCCUUGCGCUCUUUGAGCGGCCGAUGUCAGAUUAGCUAGUUGGUGAGGUAACGGCUUACCAAGGCGACGAUCUGUAGCGGGUCUGAGAGGAUGAUCCGCCACACUGGAACUGAGACACGGUCCAGACUCCUACGGGAGGCAGCAGUGGGGAAUUUUGGACAAUGGGCGCAAGCCUGAUCCAGCCAUGCCGCGUGAGUGAAGAAGGCCUCGGUUGU
Molecule: ribosomal RNA, 395 nt
Filed under: uncultured bacterium
Lineage: Bacteria
Description: bacterial SSU rRNA
Rfam family: Bacterial small subunit ribosomal RNA
Source: RNAcentral